AACGAACGCUGGCGGCGCGCCUAACACAUGCAAGUCGAACGAGAAGCUGUAGCAAUACAGUUGUACAGUGGCGAACGGGUGAGGAAUACAUGGGUGACCUACCCUCGAGUGGGGAAUAACCAGCCGAAAGGUUGGCUAAUACCGCGUACGUUUCCCAGUCUGCGGAUUGGGAAGGAAAGCGAUGCCGUGGGUAUCGCGCUCAAGGUUGGGCUCAUGUCCUAUCAGCUGUUGGUGAGGUAACGGCUCACCAAGGCAACGACGGGUAGCUGGUCUGAGAGGACGAUCAGCCACACUGGCACUGCGACACGGGCCAGACUCCUACGGGAGCAGCAGUGAGGAAUAUUGCGCAAUGGGCGAAAGCCUGACGCAGCGACGCCGCGCGGGGGAUGAAGGUCUUCGGAUUGUAAACCCCUUUCGGGAGGGAAGAUGGGACGAGCAAUCGUUCGGACGGUACCUCCAGAAGCAGCCACGGCUAACUUCGUGCC
RNAcentral lists this ribosomal RNA (485 nucleotides) under uncultured bacterium. RNAcentral describes it as "bacterial SSU rRNA". It matches the Rfam family "Bacterial small subunit ribosomal RNA", at positions 29 to 509 of the family's 1533-position model. The record is from RNAcentral.